RNAcentral lists this ribosomal RNA (453 nucleotides) under Hymenobacter sp. R-38365. RNAcentral describes it as "bacterial SSU rRNA". It matches the Rfam family "Bacterial small subunit ribosomal RNA", at positions 19 to 477 of the family's 1533-position model. The record is from RNAcentral. Lineage: Bacteria; Pseudomonadati; Bacteroidota; Cytophagia; Cytophagales; Hymenobacteraceae.
CUGGCUCAGGAUGAACGCUAGCGGCAGGCCUAAUACAUGCAAGUCGAACGGUCUUUAGCAAUAGAGAUAGUGGCGCACGGGUGCGUAACGCGUAACCAACCUACCUGAAUCUGGGGGAUAGCCCGCCGAAAGGCGGAUUAAUACCGCAUAAAACGGCAGACCGGCAUCGGUUCACCGUUAAAGAUUUAUUGGAUUCAGAUGGGGUUGCGUGCCAUUAGCUAGUUGGGGAGGUAACGGCUCACCAAGGCGACGAUGGCUAGGGGAGCUGAGAGGCUGGUCCCCCACACGGGCACUGAGAUACGGGCCCGACUCCUACGGGAGGCAGCAGUAGGGAAUAUUGGGCAAUGGCCGAGAGGCUGACCCAGCCAUGCCGCGUGCAGGAUGAAGGCUUUCUGAGUCGUAARCUGCUUUUAUCAGGGAAGAAAAAAGGGCAUGCGUGCUCUACUGACGGUA